RNAcentral lists this long non-coding RNA (330 nucleotides) under Capsella rubella. RNAcentral's name for it is "long non-coding RNA (CRUB_LNC003974)". Lineage: Eukaryota; Viridiplantae; Streptophyta; Magnoliopsida; Brassicales; Brassicaceae. The record is from RNAcentral.
UAAAAUUUAACAUGUGUUAUAGCAUGGAUGAUGAUCUAGUGUACUACUAAUAAGCGUUUUUGUUUACCAUACCAUUUGACAUUUAUGACAAACGAAAGUCAAAGUCAUGUGUUAUAAAAUAUAUUUUUUUUUCAAAAAAAAAAGAAAAAAAAAAUUCAUGUGUUAUUACUUCAAAGCUCAAAAUUAAUUUAUUUAUGUUUAAGAGUUUUCUGUUAAUCGAUCUGCUAAAAUUUCUACAAAAAAAUUAUUUCAAAUAUUGAUUUUAUGAUUUUGGAUCCUAUAUCUUAAUAUGUGCAUGUUCUCAAGUUGAUGAGGAACUUACUAUCUUCC